GACGAACGCUGGCGGCGUGCUUAACACAUGCAAGUCGAACGGUAAGGCUCCAGCUUGCUGGGGUACACGAGUGGCGAACGGGUGAGUAACACGUGGGUGACCUGCCCUGCACUUCGGGAUAAGCCUGGGAAACUGGGUCUAAUACCGGAUAGGACCAUGGUGUGGAUACUGUGGGGGAAAGUUUUUUCGGUGUGGGAUGGGCCCGCGGCCUAUCAGCUUGUUGGUGGGGUAAUGGCCUACCAAGGCGGCGACGGGUAGCCGGCCUGAGAGGGUGGACGGCCACAUUGGGACUGAGACACGGCCCAGACUCCUACGGGAGGCAGCAGUGGGGAAUAUUGCACAAUGGGCGGAAGCCUGAUGCAGCGACGCCGCGUGGGGGAUGACGGCCUUCGGGUUGUAAACUCCUUUCGCCAGCGACGAAGGGUUUCUGACGGUAGAUGGAGAAGAAGCACCGGCUAACUACGUG
Molecule: ribosomal RNA, 466 nt
Filed under: uncultured bacterium
Lineage: Bacteria
Description: partial 16S ribosomal RNA
Rfam family: Bacterial small subunit ribosomal RNA
Source: RNAcentral